UAGCCUAGUGGUUAAGGCUAUGGAUCGCCAAUCCGGAGACGGUGGGUUCGAUUCCCGU
Non-coding RNA from Aedes albopictus (Asian tiger mosquito), 58 nucleotides. The record is from Rfam. Lineage: Eukaryota; Metazoa; Arthropoda; Insecta; Diptera; Culicidae.